CCUGAUAGUUCAGUUGGUAAAGCAUCUGUCUGCAAUGCAGGAGACCCCAGUUCCAUUCCUGGGUCAGG
This 68-nucleotide transfer RNA is filed under the name Bos taurus (domestic cattle). It matches the Rfam family "tRNA". From Rfam's summary of the family: Transfer RNA (tRNA) molecules are approximately 80 nucleotides in length. Their secondary structure includes four short double-helical elements and three loops (D, anti-codon, and T loops). The record is from Rfam by way of RNAcentral. RNAcentral also lists the same sequence under 5 other names. Lineage: Eukaryota; Metazoa; Chordata; Mammalia; Artiodactyla; Bovidae.